Long non-coding RNA from Trichoplusia ni (cabbage looper), 921 nucleotides. RefSeq lists it as uncharacterized. Lineage: Eukaryota; Metazoa; Arthropoda; Insecta; Lepidoptera; Noctuidae. The transcript is spliced from 3 exons. The record is from RefSeq and is a predicted model, not a curated record.
UAUAAAACUUUCACAUACAAUCUGUACGUCAAUCAUGAAAUUAAAAUAACAGCAACUCCACACAGAACCGCCUUGUGCCUUUCAGAGCGAUCAACAAGUUAGUUUUUACUGCAGACUUAAAUGAAUUAAGGGCAAGUCUAGCAUGUCUCGGGGCAUUUUAUUAUAUAUACGAAUACCAUUGCCCUACAAACGAGUUGUGUACCCUAUGUAGCCGGUGAGACGAACUGCAUAAUUUGUGCCUAUUUCUAGUAUUGAUAUUAUGUACAUCACAUUUUUAAGUGUAUAAAGUAAUGUUUUGUCGAAUAUAUAAUAUGUUGGCUAGAAUGAAUUGCGAAGUGACAGUCAAAAUGCCAACUUCCUUAAAGUGUUCUCUAAGAGAAGCCCUAGAGCCCAACUGGAAUAUUGAAUAAUAGCUCAUUUUUGCAAAACAAAGACAGUUUCAAUUUCUGCAGCUUUACCCCACAACAGUAUACCAUACGACAUGACGCUAUGAAAGUAGCUAAAAUAAACUAGACGAGCUGUUUCCACGUCGGUGAAUUUUCUAACUUUCCUAACCGCUUAGGCAGCUGAACUAAGCUUGCUUGCAAGACAUGAAAUGUGGGGUGCCCAUUUAAGUUUACAAUCAAUUGUAAUGCUCAAAAACAAUGUAGAUUCUACCGUCUCCAAUAUCUCAUUAUUUACAACAAUAUUGGGGCCUAAAUUUUUCACAUUUGGCAUCGCGAAUUUUAUGCAUUUUGUUUUCUUAGCGUUAAGUACCAAAUUAUUAACGGCAAACCAAUUGGUAACUAAAGAAAGCGAGUCAUUAAUAUCAUCAAAACUACUUCUAUUUAUAUUUACUAAAUAUAAGUGAAGUAUUGUAAGCAAAAAGUACAGUGUCACAGAUGCCUUUUAAAUAGAAUGGCAGGUCAUUUAUAUACACCA